RNAcentral lists this unclassified non-coding RNA (286 nucleotides) under Hevea brasiliensis (rubber tree). Lineage: Eukaryota; Viridiplantae; Streptophyta; Magnoliopsida; Malpighiales; Euphorbiaceae. The record is from RNAcentral.
GGUGGUCUUUCCGGCAUUAUCGAGGCCAAGAAAGAGGAUCUUGGCCUCCUUCUGCCAGAGACCAAGGGAGGCCAAGACGCCAUAGAACCAGUCGACAAGAAACAUAAUCGAGGAUACCGGUGAAAGAAGGGGUCCGAGAAUCGAUCAGAGUCGGCACCAGCAACAACGAGCUCGCCGAUUGUUUGGGUUUGUCACUCGGAUUGAGAAGAGAAUCCUCAGCAGAAGGGCAGGCUAGAGAAAGAAAAAUUCACAACUACGGAACUUCCAAAACCUGGUUGGAAAUUGG